RNAcentral lists this ribosomal RNA (494 nucleotides) under Variovorax paradoxus. Its description in RNAcentral is "bacterial SSU rRNA". It matches the Rfam family "Bacterial small subunit ribosomal RNA", at positions 414 to 901 of the family's 1533-position model. The record is from RNAcentral. Lineage: Bacteria; Pseudomonadati; Pseudomonadota; Betaproteobacteria; Burkholderiales; Comamonadaceae.
GCCUUCGGGUUGUAAACUGCUUUUGUCCGGAACGAAACGGCCUUUUCUAAUACCGAGGGCUAAUGACGGUACCGUAAGAAUAAGCACCGGCUAACUACGUGCCAGCAGCCGCGGUAAUACGUAAGGUGCAAGCGUUAAUCGGAAUUACUGGGCGUAAAGCGUGCGCAGGCGGUAAUGUAAGACAGUUGUGAAAUCCCCGGGCUCAACCUGGGAACUGCAUCUGUGACUGCAUUGCUGGAGUACGGCAGAGGGGGAUGGAAUUCCGCGUGUAGCAGUGAAAUGCGUAGAUAUGCGGAGGAACACCGAUGGCGAAGGCAAUCCCCUGGGCCUGUACUGACGCUCAUGCACGAAAGCGUGGGGAGCAAACAGGAUUAGAUACCCUGGUAGUCCACGCCCUAAACGAUGUCAACUGGUUGUUGGGUCUUCACUGACUCGUAACGCAGCUAACGCGUGAAGUUGACCGCCUGGGGGAGUACGGUCGCAAGGUUGAAACU